AUGAUUUACCCCUUGCAGUGUACUUAUUACACUGUAUUGGAAUCGCUUCUUUUCUCUUUCUCUGUGAAUUUCUUGAGAGCACAGACUACAUUCUGCUUAACUUUUUAUCCCCAGCUUUCAGCACAGUGCCUGGCUUGUCUGAGGCGCAUGGCCCCGGGAGAGGAGGAGAAUGGGACGGUGGUUCAGAUCUGCUGAUGUAGCUGUGGUCAGUCACUGGGGAGAAUAGGCCUGUGGAUUUCUGCUCCUCUGAGAUGGAUCCAUCACUGACUACUGAACUUGUUUUCUCAUUGGCUCAACUUAAGAAGGUUCUAGAGGUGAGAAAAGAGUUCACAAAUCCAUUGGUCUGAAUGAGGUGAAUUUCUGAGAUAUGCUUUUAUUUUGGAGAACAGUAUACACAUUUAACUUCUAUUUUCAGUGUAGAAAAAAUGUCUAUCAUGGUUUUUGUCACUCUUAUUAAACACAGAAAGGGUAAAAUGCAGUUAUGGUUAUAGGUUCUCAGUUAUGCCUGAAAAAAAACUGAAGUAAAAUUUAAUUUAUUAAAAAUGAUCAGGAAAUCUUCCCACUACCAUGUAGGAUCAAGGACGUGAAACAACCAAAACCAAAGAGCAGCUGGAGACCACUUGCCAGUGAUUAGCACGAGGUAAGCUGCAAAGAACUUUGAAUUAGGUCAGUCUAAAUAAUAGGGCGUUUUUCAAGUCCUUGCCUUGGGAAGAUCAGGAACACGGUGAAUAAUUGGGAUUACCUUUGUCUCACUAAGAGCCAAACCCCAGGUGUUGUAAGGCUACAAAGCUAUCUCAUUGUCUUCCUGUAUCAUCCAACGCUGAGAUCCUCUGUGACAUUUUAAAUUGCUUAUGUAGCAAAGCAAAUGGAGUACAGUAUUCAAACAUAGUUUUGUGUUUGUAGAGAACAUAAGAAGCUGAAAAUAUGAAUGGAUUCAAAGUGCAUGUAGAAAAAAAUGUGUCUGCUAUCUUUGUGA
This is a long non-coding RNA of Homo sapiens (human), 976 nucleotides long. NCBI's taxonomy places the organism in Eukaryota, Metazoa, Chordata, Mammalia, Primates, Hominidae. The record is from Ensembl.